Molecule: long non-coding RNA, 224 nt
Organism: Pseudophryne corroboree (corroboree frog)
Lineage: Eukaryota; Metazoa; Chordata; Amphibia; Anura; Myobatrachidae
Exons: 3
Source: RefSeq, a predicted model, not a curated record
UUCCGGGUCCUGGAGAGGAGAUGGCUGCUGCUCUCAGCACGAGUGAAGUCUCUCCCUCCCCUCCCUCGUCCAGACUAACAUGAAAUGGCUGCUUAUGUGGCAAUUCAGAAGAGAAAAGGCCAUGAAUGCUUCGUAAUUAUGUUCCAGCAACAAUAACUCACUAAUUGGCAUCAUAAUCAUAAAUGUCCCUCUGAGAUAUGGAAAUAGCUGUGUGGCUGUACAAU